RNAcentral lists this ribosomal RNA (136 nucleotides) under uncultured bacterium. Its description in RNAcentral is "partial 16S ribosomal RNA". It matches the Rfam family "Bacterial small subunit ribosomal RNA", at positions 355 to 507 of the family's 1533-position model. The record is from RNAcentral.
CAGGGAAUAUUAUACAAUGGGCGAAAGCCUGAUACAGCGACGCCGCGUGAAGGAUGAAGACCCUAGGGUUGUAAACUUCUUUUCUCAGGGAAGAACUAUGACGGUACCUGAGGAAUAAGUCACGGCUAACUACGUG